CCUACGGGAGGCAGCAGUGGGGAAUAUUGCGCAAUGGGCGAAAGCCUGACGCAGCGACGCCGCGUGAGGGAUGAAGGUCUUCGGAUCGUAAACCUCUGUCAGCAGGGAAGAACGGUCACUGUGCUAAUCAGCAGUGAAUUGACGGUACCUGCAAAGGAAGCACCGGCUAACUCCGGGCCAGCAGCCGCGGUAAUACGGAGGGUGCGGGCGUUAAUCGGAAUUACUGGGCGUAAGGCGCUCGUAGACGGUAUGUCAAGUCAAGGGUGAAAUCCCCGCGCUCAACGUGGGAACUGCCUUUGAAACGGGGAAACUGGAGUGUGUGAGAGGAUAGUGGAAUUCCAGGUGUAGGGGUGAAAUGCGUAGAUAUCUGGAGGAACAUCAGUGGCGAAGGCGACUAUCUGGAACAUAACUGACGCUGAGGAGCGAAAGCGUGGGUAGCAAACAGGAUUAGAUACCCGAGUAGUC
Molecule: ribosomal RNA, 465 nt
Filed under: uncultured bacterium
Lineage: Bacteria
Description: partial 16S ribosomal RNA
Rfam family: Bacterial small subunit ribosomal RNA
Source: RNAcentral